This 343-nucleotide ribosomal RNA is filed under the name uncultured Glomeromycotina. RNAcentral describes it as "SSU rRNA". It matches the Rfam family "Eukaryotic small subunit ribosomal RNA", at positions 569 to 919 of the family's 1831-position model. Lineage: Eukaryota; Fungi; Glomeromycota. The record is from RNAcentral.
AGCAGCCGCAGUAAUUCCAGCUCCAAUAGCGUAUAUUAAAGUUGCUGCAGUUAAAAAGCUCGUAGUUGAAUUUCGGGACCAAUAUGUCGGUCGUGCUUCGGUACGUACUGGCAUCGUUGGUUUCUCCCUUCUGAUGAACCAUGAUGUCAUUCAUUUGGUGUCGUGGGGAAUCAGGACUGUUACUUUGAAAAAUUAGAGUGUUUAAAGCAGGCUCACGCUUGAAUACAUUAGCAUGGAAUAAUGAAAUAGGACGUUUGAUUCUAUUUUGUUGGUUUCUAGGAUCAACGUAAUGAUUAAUAGGGAUAGUUGGGGCAUUAGUAUUCAAUUGUCAGAGGUGAAAUUC